Molecule: long non-coding RNA, 617 nt
Organism: Myotis davidii
Lineage: Eukaryota; Metazoa; Chordata; Mammalia; Chiroptera; Vespertilionidae
Exons: 2
Source: RefSeq, a predicted model, not a curated record
ACAAAAAAAUGAACAAUAAAAAAAUAACUUCCAAGCAAUACUGCAUGUUGAUAAGAACCACUAAGUAAAAUAAUAUGAUUGGCUCACUUCUAAAGCUAUUGUAGGUUUGACCAGUUUGGAAAUAGCAUGCCUCACUGCUCGGCUAAUAUACCUAACUCCUUCCAAAAUGGGUACAACUUAUUUUAUUUUGUGACUAGGCAAGAUUAAGUAAAACAAUUGAAAAUAUAUUUUUAAAAAGCAUAGUAACUCAAAACAACUUAUUUGGGAUCAUUUUCUACUCUCUUUUAAGGGGAAAAACCCAUGAAAUCACAGUGCCUAAAUGUGAAACGGAGACAGAUUCAAAAAGAGCAGUGUCGGUUCCAUUUACAAAGCCCUUUAUCCCAUUACAUUUAUAGCAAUACUGUGAUCAACAUCAUACAAGGAUUCUUAUUUCUUCCUUAGACGGCAGCAAUGUUUCUCCCACUGCAUAACAGAUUGCAACUCUGCAAAUGGUUUAAAUCAACUUUCUGCACCCUGAAUUUACAAACUAUUGGAUGUUAAGUUUCCUUAAAACUAUCUUAUUUUUAAACUUUACUUAAAGCUAAAACUAAAUCUUUAAACACACACACACACACACA